This 3009-nucleotide ribosomal RNA is filed under the name Triticum aestivum (bread wheat). RNAcentral describes it as "partial small subunit ribosomal RNA". The record is from RNAcentral. Lineage: Eukaryota; Viridiplantae; Streptophyta; Magnoliopsida; Poales; Poaceae.
AUGAUAUUAAUAGAGCUAAUAAAGCACAACAGGAGAAGAAUUAAGAGUGAAAAUCAGAUUGUGGCAAAAGAAUUUGAGCAACAAAUGAAGCCUAAUAAUAAACCAUCUAGUGUUGCUUCUGAAAUUAAAUUGAAAAGUGCAUGUUUAUUUGCCACCAAAUCUGAUAUUGAUGAGCUAGAUUUCAGCAAAUCUGUUUGCUAUGCUUUUGUGUGCAAAGAGGCAUUAUUUUCAUUCGAGGACGUGCCUUCCUCUUUGCCUCCUGCUGUCACUAACAUUUUGCAGGAGUUCGCUGACGUUUUUCCACAAGUCGUGCCACCGGGAUUACCGCCUAUUCGAGGGAUUGAGCAUCAGAUUGACUUAAUUCCCGGUGCUUCACUGCCAAACCGUGCACCAUACCGUACCAAUCCAGAGGAGACGAAGGAGAUUAUGCGUCAAGUACAAGAGCUUCUCGACAAAGGUUAUAUACGCGAAUCCCUUAGUCCUUGUGCUGUUCCUAUUAUUCUAGUGCCGAAAAAGGAUGGUACAUCACGUAUGUGUGUUGAUUGUAGAGGCAUUAAUAAUAUUACUAUUCGUUAUCGUCAUCCUAUUCCUAGGCUAGAUGAUAUGCUUGAUGAAUUGAGUGGCUCUACAAUAUUCUCCAAAGUUGAUUUGCGUAGUGGAUACCAUCAAAUUCGUAUGAAAUUUGGAGAUGAAUGGAAAACAGCAUUCAAAACUAAGUUUGGAUUAUAUGAGUGGUUAGUCAUGCCUUUUGGGUUAACUAAUGCACCUAGUACUUUCAUGAGAUUAAUGAACGAAGUUUUACGUGCUUUCAUUGGACGAUUUGUGGUAGUUUACUUUGAUGACAUACUGAUUUAUAGCAGAUCUUUGGAAGAACAUUUGGAACAUUUACGUGCUGUUUUUAUUGCUCUACGUGAUGCACGUUUGUUUGGUAACCUUGGGAAGUGCACCUUUUGCACCGACCGAGUAUCAUUUCUUGGCUAUGUUGUUACUCCACAGGGAAUUGAAGUUGACAAAGCCAAGAUUGAAGCUAUUGAGAGUUGGCCGCAGCCCAAAACGGUCACACAAGUGAGGAGUUUUCUUGGCCUCGCUGGAUUCUAUAGGCAUUUUGUGAGAGAUUUCAGCACCAUUGCUGCACCUCUCAACGAGCUUACAAAGAAGGAUGUGCCUUUUGUUUGGGGUACCGCACAGGAAGAAGCCUUCACGGUAUUGAAAGAUAAGUUGACACAUGCUCCUUUACUCCAACUUCCUGAUUUUAAUAAGACUUUUGAGCUUGAAUGUGAUGCUAGUGGAAUUGGAUUAGGAGGUGUGUUAUUACAAGAUGGCAAACCUGUUGCAUACUUUUCUGAAAAAUUGAGUGGGCCUAGUCUGAAUUAUUCUACUUAUGAUAAAGAAUUAUAUGCUCUUGUUCGGACUUUAGAAACAUGGCAACAUUAUUUAUGGCCCAAAGAAAUUGUUAUACAUUCUGAUCAUGAAUCUUUGAAACAUAUUAAAAGUCAAGCUAAACUGAACCGUAGACAUGCUAAAUGGGUUGAAUUCAUUGAGACUUUCCCUUAUGUCAUUAAACACAAGAAGGGAAAAGAAAAUGUUAUUGCUGAUGCAUUGUCUCGUCGCUAUACUAUGCAUUCACAACUUGACUUCAAAAUAUUUGGUUUGGAGACCAUCAAAGAUCAAUAUGUGCAUGAUGCUGAUUUUAAAGAUGUAAUGCAGAAUUGUAAAGAAGGAAGAAUGUGGAACAAGUUUGUCGUUAACGAUGGAUUUGUGUUUCGUGCUAACAAGCUAUGCAUUCCAGCUAGCUCCGUUCGUCUUUUGUUGUUGCAGGAGGCGCAUGGAGGAGGAUUAAUGGGACACUUUGGCGUGAAGAAGACGGAGGACGUACUUGCUACACAUUUCUUUUGGCCAAAGAUGAUACGGGAUGUUGAGCGUUUUAUUGCUCGAUGCACUACAUGUCAAAAAGCUAAGUCACGACUCAAUCCUCAUGGUUUAUAUAUGCCUUUGCCUGUACCUAGUGUUCCUUGGGAGGAUAUAUCUAUGGACUUUGUUUUAGGUUUACCUCGAACAAAGAAGGGGAGGGAUAGCAUAUUUGUUGUCGUGGAUAGAUUCUCGAAAAUGGCACACUUUAUACCAUGUCAUAAAAGCGAUGAUGCUGUUAAUGUUGCUGAUUUGUUCUUUCGUGAAAUUAUUCGCUUGCAUGGUGUGCCAAAUACUAUUGUUUCAGAUCGUGAUACUAAAUUUCUUAGCCACUUUUGGAGAUGUUUAUGGGCUAAGUUGGGGACUAAACUGCUUUUUAGUACUACUUGUCACCCCCAAACUGAUGGACAAACUGAAGUAGUCAAUAGAACGUUGUCUACUAUGCUUAGGGCUGUUUUGAAGAAUAAUAAGAAAAUGUGGGAGGAAUGCUUGCCUCAUAUUGAAUUUGCUUAUAAUCGUUCAUUGCAUUCUACUACUAAGAUGUGCCCUUUUGAAGUUGUGUAUGGUUUCCUACCUCGUGCACCUAUUGAUUUGUUGCCUCUUCCAUCUUCGGAGAAGGUUAAUUUUGAUGCUAAACAACGUGCUGAAUUGAUUUUAAAAAUGCAUGAGUUAACUAAGGAAAACAUUGAGCAUAUGAAUGCUAAAUAUAAACUUGCUGGAGAUAAGGGUAGAAAACAUGUUGUGUUUGCACCUGGAGAUCUUGUUUGGUUACAUUUGCGUAAGGAUAGAUUUCCUGAUUUGCACAAAUCAAAGCUAAUGCCACGUGCUGAUGGUCCCUUUAAGGUGUUAGAGAAAAUAAAUGAUAAUGCAUAUAAACUUGAGCUGCCUGCAGAUUUUGGGGUUAGUCCCACUUUUAACAUUGCAGAUUUGAAGCCUUAUUUGGGUGAGGAAGAUGAACUUCCGUCGAGGACGACUUCAUUUCAAGAAGGGGAGGAUGAUGAGGACAUCAAUACAAUUGUUACACCCACAGCCCCUGCUGCUAUACAUACUGGACCAAUUACUAGAGCUCGUGCACGCCAACUAAAUUACCAGGUACUUUAG